UGCAAGUCGAGCGGUAACAGGGGUAGCUUGCUACCCGCUGACGAGCGGCGGACGGGUGAGUAANGCAUAGGAAUUUACCCGAUAGUGGGGGAUAACCUGGGGAAACCCAGGCUAAUACCGCAUACGUCCUACGGGAGAAAGGGGGCUNCGGCUCCCGCUAUCGGAUGAGCCUAUGCCGGAUUAGCUGGUUGGUGAGGUAAUGGCUCACCAAGGCGACGAUCCGUAGCUGGUCUGAGAGGAUGAUCAGCCACAUCGGGACUGAGACACGGCCCGAACUCCUACGGGAGGCAGCAGUGGGGAAUAUUGGACAAUGGGGGCAACCCUGAUCCAGCCAUGCCGCGUGUGUGAAGAAGGCCCUCGGGUUGUAAAGCACUUUCAGUGAGGAAGAACGCUUGGCGGUUAAUACCCGCCAGGAAAGACAUCACUCACAGAAGAAGCACCGGCUAACUCCGUGCCAGCAGCCGCGGUAAUACGGAGGGUGCAAGCGUUAAUCGGAAUUACUGGGCGUAAAGCGCGCGUAGGUGGCUUGAUAAGCCGGUUGUGAAAGCCCCGGGCUCAACCUGGGAACGGCAUCCGGAACUGUCAAGCUAGAGUGCAGGAGAGGAAGGUAGAAUUCCCGGUGUAGCGGUGAAAUGCGUAGAGAUCGGGAGGAAUACCAGUGGCGAAGGCGGCCUUCUGGACUGACACUGACA
Molecule: ribosomal RNA, 692 nt
Filed under: Halomonas sp. AVf.18
Lineage: Bacteria; Pseudomonadati; Pseudomonadota; Gammaproteobacteria; Oceanospirillales; Halomonadaceae
Description: bacterial SSU rRNA
Rfam family: Bacterial small subunit ribosomal RNA
Source: RNAcentral